CUCUUUUUGAUUAUAAUUUAAAGUUGGGCCUGCCCACUGAAUUUUGAAGGGCCGCAGUAUUUUGACUGUGCAAAGGUAGCAUAAUCAUUAGUUUUUUAAUUGAAAGCUUGUAUGAAUGGUUUGAUGAAAAAGUUUCUGUUUCAAUUUUAAUUUAUAGAAUUUUAUUUUUAAGUUAAAAAGCUUAAAUAAAUUUUAAAGACGAGAAGACCCUAUAGAGUUUAACUAAUAUAUAAUUUUAAAAUUUAAGAAUUUUAUAUUUUUAAUUUGUAUAAAGUUUUGUUGGGGUGACAAAAAAAUUAAGUUAACUUUUUUUUUAUUUUUACAAUAAUAUUUGAUUUCUUGAUCCAUAAAAAUGAUUAAAAGAAUAAAUUACCUUAGGGAUAACAGCGUAAUCUUUUUUGAAAGUUCUUAUUGAAAAAAGGGGUUGCGACCUCGAUGUUGGAUUAAAAUUAAUAUUUGGCGAAGAAGCUAAACUAUUGGGUCUGUUCGACCUUUAAAAUUUUACAUGAUCUGAGUUUAAACCGGUGUGAGCCAGGUUGGUUUCUAUCUUAAAAGAAAAGAAAUAUUUUAGUACGAAAGGAUUAAAUAUUUUAUUUAUAAUAUUAAUUUUGAAUAAAAUUUUUAUUUUGGCAGAAUAGUGCAAAGGAUUUAGAAUCUUUUUAUGUAGUUAAUUACAAAUAAAAAUUGAAUUAUUUUUAAUAUUUUUGAAUUUUUUAAUUUUAUUUGUUGGGGUUUUGGUUGGGGUAGCUUUUUUAACUUUAUUGGAACGAAAACUUUU
This 778-nucleotide ribosomal RNA is filed under the name Epilachna coquereli. RNAcentral describes it as "partial 16S ribosomal RNA". The stretch from base 1 to 574 matches the Rfam family "Bacterial large subunit ribosomal RNA", at positions 1819 to 2925 of the family's 2925-position model. The record is from RNAcentral. Lineage: Eukaryota; Metazoa; Arthropoda; Insecta; Coleoptera; Coccinellidae.